UUUACAUUCGGUUGUCGGCUGUUGGUGGAGUGGAGCAGAGCGAGAUGUGUCACAGCCUGGGCGCUCCCCACCCAAUGUCCCAUUGCCAUGCAAAGGGAAGGUUGGACACUGUGGGUGUUUCCAGGUGCUGAAGGACCUCAGCCAAGGCGAGACCAUCAAGCCGGAGGCUGAGGACAAUCCCAGGUCAGGCUACCGCGAGCCGCCAAACUGUCCAUUAGACUCCGGGGCAGGGAGCCUCAGCACCACCCUGCCUGCUCAGGGGGAGCUCCUGUAAGAAACCCCACGUUUACUUUUCCAGGAUGGACGUGCUAAGGAGGAUGCGGAGGAGGACGGCUCUGCGCGUGGGCCCGGAGCCAGCAGCCCCAUUGGCAAGAGGCAGCUGCCAGCAGCCCCAGGCAGAAAGGGCCCCCUCUGUCCCUGCUGGGAGGGAAGCAGCCACCAGCCAGCCCAGGACAUGGACAUGGACACGGACACGGUUGGCCUUCCUGACCAGGAAGAGACGAGCUCCCAGAGCAGGCACCGAGCGGGGCGAGGCGGCAUCUGCUCUGAGACGGAGGUGCCCCAAGUUCUGCCUGGGCAGGUGGGACCCAGUCCAUGAAAGGAGCCAGGCAACGCAGCUCUGGGUUUGCUUUUGCUUCAAGGCCAGCCCCCAGGAGUCCAGCCCUGUGGCCCAGCGGGAGACAUCUCCCAGCCUGCUUCCUGGUGACCUCCCUGCCUCUCCAGGGCAGGAGAUGGGGGGACCCUGUCCCAGCACCAGCAGCUCGGCCUGCUCCCGAGGGGAGAGCGGACGUUUCCUGGGGGGUCCCUGGAGCACGGAGGCUGAGUGCUCCUCCACUACAGGGCCCCUGUUCUUCCUCUUCCUCCCAUAGCAGCAGCAGGAGUCACCCUCUGCCCUUCUCUCCCCGACGCAGACGAUCUCAGUGACCUGUCAGAGGAGAACUGGCCAUGGAGGAGGAGGAGAAGAAGGAACCAACCAAGAAGGAGGAGGAGGAGGAGGAGAAGGAACCAGCCACGGAGGAGGGUGAGAAGGAACCAACCACAGGGGAGGAGCAGGAACCAGCCACAGAGGAGGAUAAUGAGGAGGACUCGGCCUCAGAGUAGGAGGAGAAUAAUGAUGAGGACCCAGCCACAGAGGAGGAGGUUAUAGCCAAAUAUUUAAUUUAAUAGAGGAUUUCUGGUUGUAGUUACACACCAGCAUUUAAGGGGUGAUGAAUAGGUUUAAGCAGGACAGGAUCACAGGAGUAUAACGUUGAUACGCAUUUAGAAGGGAUGAGUGCAUUCAGUAUAUAAGCCAAGGAAGGCCGUAAAGCAGGCCCUACAGGCUGAGGCCUGUAAGAUUUCAGCUUCGCCACACUAGUCCCGAGGAGGGUUUACAUAAGUCGGUGACCUAGAAAUAACCCUGUGCCAGUAAAGUCACAAGGUUAUUGUAAAGAAUGUUCAAAUGGGUGAUGUUCAGGUUAAUAGACCACAAUGCACCUGUCUAGACUGCAAGAUGCCUGAUUGUAACAUCAUGAAAAAUUCUGCAGUUACAGGUUACCAUGGGGAUUUGUUUACCUAGAUGCAUAAUGAGAAGAAAAGGAUUUAAGGGGCUAGCCAAUGAGAUAUGGGGCACCCAAAAUUAGUGGGGUGUAGAAGUAUUGAUAAGGAAAAAGGGGUUGGAACCCUUAUGCAUAUGCAUGAGCUGUAGUGGGUGUAAGCGUGACUCAGAAUAAGAGGUGUUGUGUGGAGGGAAGAAACACACAGGAAAUGCCAGGAUGUCAAGCCAGGGGUUGUAAGGAUAAUGAUGAUGAGGAGAAUAACGACUGACAUUCCAGGGUCCCCCAGCAGGAGAUGUGAGAUGUGAGUGAGGCCGGUCAUAGGGGUAAACACUUUGCACUAUCUUUCUAUCUGCUGUUGAGUAAGUGUGGGACUGUUUAUCUGCUUAGUGAAUUUGUUAAUAAAGCAGAACUGUUUCUUGAGUGUUCUAGGGUCUCUUAAUACUAAUAAUAUUCCUGAUCCUGUAGCCCUCAGGAGACCAAAUCUUUAACCAAUGCUGUCUAAGGGAUUAAUCAGUAAUCAGUACACCGAUCCAUAAAUAAGGCUACAGAUUAGGGUCCCAUCUUGGGUGCCAUGGGUCAUUUUACCUACCUGUCACAAAGGUAGAAGGAUUUAUGUAAUGUGUGUGUGUGAAAUAAAUAGACCUUUAAGAAAGUCCACGAAAAAUCUGUUUGCCUUAAUAAUUAGAAGGGUAAUAAGUUAAAGUCAAGUGUAUUAAGGCAUAAAUUGUUUCUAUGCCUAUAAAUUGUAGUUUUUGUAUAAUCUUUUGGUCAGGACUAACAGGGAACAGUGAAUGUUACUAAAGCUCUUCAGAGAGCAGUCAAUAUGUUGCUGUACAUAGAAGGGGAAGUAACUUUGGGGAAGUUUGUCUGCGAGAAGAGACCAGACAAAGCAAAUAGCUUUAACUUAAAUGUGGCCGAAUAAAAUUAAAAUUAGUGUCCCAGAAACCCAUGUUAAAAUUGUUAUUUUAAAUUGUCUUUGUCAUAUGGCGCAUCUAAUGUAGUGUCAUUUAAAAUAGUAUUAAGUUCUAUGGUUUAGCUGUUUUAAAAAAAGGCCAUGUCUGAUGUACAUGUAAAAACUGACACAGUAAAUAGAGGUAGGGGGGGAAGUGACCCUGCUCACUACCCCUCUGACCUGCCAAGUACGGCGGGGGAAAGAAAGUGAAGGGGGCAAAGCUAAAAGCCUGGGGUAAAAUUGAAAUAUUAAGGUACGUGUAUUAUUCCGCUGCUGAACAUUUGCAUUAUUUUUGUUGUUAAAAAAAUAUUGGGUUGUUAAACAAAAAAAGUAUCCUUAAAUUUAACCAAUCAGUUAUUGCAUAUUAUUAGCCCAAAGAGAGGUAUCCAGUCAGUUAUCAUUCCGGACACACCCACCCUGGGCAUGGUAAAGGAAAUCAGCAAUCCUUUUGUUUUACACAGGAAUCAUUCGUCUAAGGCAGUAUUAAAACCUCUAACCAAAAAAAAUGUAGCAGCCUCUGCUAUUCACAAACAACAAUCAUGGAUAUUAGUAUUAAUUCUCAAUAAAAGUGUUUACACUUCUUCCUUAUAACAUUUUUAUAAUUCCCUAGGUAAAUAAAGCAGUUGUUAAUUUUUUUAAUCAUUUGUUUUGUUUUCUUCUAUUUUAGGAUCUAAAUAUUCAGGAUAGACACCUUCGGCACCUAACUAAACUAUUUACAUCUUAAUUUUGCUUGUUAAAAUAAGUUACUCUAACUAAAAUGAAGUUGUUAAUUCAAACAGGGUUUGUUUUUUUUUUGUUGAUUUGUUUUUUAGGUAUCCUCCUGUUUAAAAAUGAACACAUUUCCAGUGCCCGUCUCCCUUAUUGAUCAAUCAUGGUGGUAACUAUUAUUAAGCAAUUAAUAAUUUUAACCCUUAGGUUUCCUGGACCUGCCCUAAACAGCAAUGUUUAGAGGUCUGUUUUAUGUAUUUUACUCUUUGUUCUCUGAUGUUUUAUUUUAUGUUUCAACACAAUUAUAUUGAAAUUGUUUUGUCUUUAUUAGUCCCUUAGUUAUGUUUUAGGUCAUGUGACUGUUAUAGGAUUUUCAAUUUAGGGGACUUAUUUUAUUUUUGUUGUUGCAACAAAAAAUAUUUUGUGCACAAAGGUAUAAGAAAGCUAAUUAAUAAAACAAUUUUUGUGGUCCCACACUAUUUCAAUAUUAUAAUUAGGCUAUACCCACCAUUGGUGUACUAUUACAAUACAUUAAUUGUAGUUCUUUUUUGCAAAUGUUAGUCAUAAAUACAGGUAUAUUUGUUUAUAAUUAAAUUAUGUAUUCAUGCAAUGUUUUUGGUUAAUCUUAAUUUUGAGUUUGUCAAGCAAUGUAGCAAGUUGUUUGGCACAACCUAGGUUAAAAUGUAUAAAUUCAUAAAAGGAAAACUAUGACAAUAUUUAUGUAGCGUUAAUAGCUAUGUUAUGGCUACAAUGUUUUAUAAUAUAACUCUAUGUUGAUUGGUUAUCUGUGUUUAUAGAUUGUUAAACAUCAUCAAAUUAAUGCAAAUAAAAUCAGGU
This is an RNA transcript of Mauremys mutica (yellowpond turtle), 4035 nucleotides long. RefSeq lists it as uncharacterized. The record is from RefSeq and is a predicted model, not a curated record. The transcript is spliced from 3 exons. Lineage: Eukaryota; Metazoa; Chordata; Testudines; Geoemydidae.